GCGGGAGGCUAAUACAUGCAAGUCGAACGGUAACAGGGUAGCAAUAUCGCUGACGAGUGGCGCACGGGUGAGUAACACGUACACAACCUGCCUUAUACUGGGGCAUAGCCUUGGGAAACUAAGAUUAAUUCCCCAUAACAUUAUGAAACGGCAUCGUUUUAUAAUUAAAAUUCCGAUGGUAUAAGAUGGGUGUGCGUCUGAUUAGCUAGUUGGCGGGGUAACAGCCCACCAAGGCAACGAUCAGUAGCUGGUCUGAGAGGAUGAUCAGCCACACGGGCACUGAGACACGGGCCCGACUCCUACGGGAGGCAGCAGUAGGGAAUAUUGGACAAUGGGCGCAAGCCUGAUCCAGCCAUCCCGCGUGAAGGAUUAAGGCCCUAUGGGUUGUAAACUUCUUUUCUCUGGGAAUAAAAAGUGGAGUUCACUCCGCCUUUGAAGGU
This 440-nucleotide ribosomal RNA is filed under the name uncultured bacterium. Its description in RNAcentral is "bacterial SSU rRNA". It matches the Rfam family "Bacterial small subunit ribosomal RNA", at positions 39 to 476 of the family's 1533-position model. The record is from RNAcentral.